Molecule: long non-coding RNA, 828 nt
Organism: Acipenser ruthenus (sterlet)
Lineage: Eukaryota; Metazoa; Chordata; Actinopteri; Acipenseriformes; Acipenseridae
Exons: 3
Source: RefSeq, a predicted model, not a curated record
UUUAUUUUCUCUGUUUUGGAAUUUAGCCAGGGUGUUUGUUAUCUAAUCUGGAAUAUAGCACCUCCAACAACUGGGAUAUGGUUGGUUGGUUGUCUGGCUCCUGAAUGAACUCCCAGCUUCUCUUGCAAAGAUUUUGGAAAUGCAUGUUCCAAGCACGGAACACUUGGAGGCUGUAGGCCAAUGCCACUUUGGUACAGCUGACAUCGGUCCAUGGGUCAAAAUUAAUCAAAUUCAAGAUUAGCACCACCACAUCUUUUGUUUUGAACUGCAGUACUGCCUGGUGUCAGUAUUUUCCCUUCCUGCUUCUGACCUGAUGUCACCGCACAGCCACCCUGUCACACAAGGGCUGCUGUUCUUUAUCUGCAAAGAGGGGAGUACAUUUUAACCCAAGGAAGGACUAAUUGACUGAGCAGGUGAUGUAUAUCAGAAAAUCUCUCUCUCUCGAUAGAUAGAUAGAUUCAGUACAAGGAACUGCAUGAUACACAAAAAUAUUGUUAGUUUAAAGACUGCCUCACAUAUUUUAGGGAUUUAAAAAAAUAGGGAGCAUGUAAUAUUAAUCUUAAAGGAGUAAACUGGACAGUAACCAUAUUAUUAAUUUUAGCGAUAAGGGCUAUCUAAAAAGCCAGAUGUUUUAAGUUUAAUUAAGCCUUAUGACACACAAAGCAGGGAAAAAUUGCUAUUAAAGAGCAAGCAAAAUGGCAGUAUGGCAUCAGCUCUAAACCUGAUCCACCUUCUGCAGUGCUGCCUUGAGAAAUCUGACUGACUAAGGUGAGAAUCUGAACUUAAGCAUGUAUCUUGCUUCUGUAUCUUCCAUGUAUUGGUGUAUGU